Long non-coding RNA from Triticum dicoccoides, 556 nucleotides. RefSeq lists it as uncharacterized. The transcript is spliced from 3 exons. Lineage: Eukaryota; Viridiplantae; Streptophyta; Magnoliopsida; Poales; Poaceae. The record is from RefSeq and is a predicted model, not a curated record.
CCAGAAGACUCGCAACCUCUACUUAUACAAUGGAUUGACUUUGUUUGUCGGAUGGCUGGCCCUUAUCGUCAUGUCAAUCGAACUCUAAUUGAGGGAAUGCCAGCAAAGGAGAUGUUUCACAAGCACCGACAAAACAUGGAGAUUAUGAUUUGGAAGUAGUCGGGGGUCUGGUCAUGGUACGUCGACAGCAAGAAGACGGAUAUUCUUUUUCUGUAAAACAUGACCCUUUGAUUGAUUUGGGUUCACUACUAAACUUUCUAAUGCUUCCUCAUACGACUACCACCUCUGAUUAAUCUCCUUUGGAUUCAGUUAUGUACUUUUGUUUGUUUCCAACUAUUUUUCACUCGGGUUUUUGUGGGUGUUGGUAGCUGGAAUGCAGAGCAUGAAGUGGUGUAAGGUGGUGUUGAUGUGGGACAUUGCAGCCGCUCCCAGAUCAAUUCAAUGUCCAUUUGAAUAUUUUAGUUCCUUUAUGCCUUUGAUUAUAUAUUUUACUGAAUAAUGGGGUUAUACUUGUGGAGAGUACCUGUUUAUAUUUCUUAUGACUAUUCACCUACAA